This 433-nucleotide ribosomal RNA is filed under the name uncultured bacterium. Its description in RNAcentral is "partial 16S ribosomal RNA". It matches the Rfam family "Bacterial small subunit ribosomal RNA", at positions 29 to 507 of the family's 1533-position model. The record is from RNAcentral.
AACGAACGCUGGCGGCAUGCCUAACACAUGCAAGUCGAACGAGACCUUCGGGUCUAGUGGCGCACGGGUGCGUAACGCGUGGGAACCUGCCCUUAGGUUCGGAAUAACUCCCCGAAAGGGGUGCUAAUACCGGAUAAUGUCUUCGGACCAAAGAUUUAUCGCCUUUGGAUGGGCCCGCGUUGGAUUAGCUAGUUAGUAGGGUAAAAGCCUACCAAGGCGACGAUCCAUAGCUGGUCUGAGAGGAUGAUCAGCCACACUGGGACUGAGACACGGCCCAGACUCCUACGGGAGGCAGCAGUGGGGAAUAUUGGACAAUGGGCGAAAGCCUGAUCCAGCAAUGCCGCGUGAGUGAUGAAGGCCUUAGGGUUGUAAAGCUCUUUUACCCGAGAUGAUAAUGACAGUACCGGGAGAAUAAGCUCCGGCUAACUCCGUG